Non-coding RNA from Nyctereutes procyonoides (raccoon dog), 407 nucleotides. Lineage: Eukaryota; Metazoa; Chordata; Mammalia; Carnivora; Canidae. The record is from the annotation of a RefSeq genome assembly.
UCAGAAGGCAGUGAUUUUGGGGCAUCUCCACCAUGGCCUGGACUCUGGUCCUCCUCACCUUUCUCUCUCAGGGCACAGGGUCCUGGGCCCAGUCUGCCCUGACUCAACCUUCCUCGGUGUCUGGGACUUUGGGCCAGACUGUCACCAUCUCCUGUGAUGGAAGCAGCAGUAACAUUGGCAGUAAUAAUUAUAUCGACUGGUACCAACAGUUCCCAGGCACCUCCCCCAAACUCCUGAUUUACUAUACCAAUAAUCGGCCGUCAGGGAUCCCUGCUCGCUUCUCUGGCUCCAAGUCUGGGAACACGGCCUCCUUGACCAUCUCUGGGCUCCAGGCUGAAGAUGAGGCUGAUUAUUACUGCAGCGCAUAUGCUGGUAGUAAUAGUUUCCACAGUGGUACAAGCUCAUGA